GAUGAACGCUGGCGGCGUGCCUAAUACAUGCAAGUCGAGCGAACAGACGAGGAGCUUGCUCCUCUGACGUUAGCGGCGGACGGGUGAGUAACACGUGGAUAACCUACCUAUAAGACUGGGAUAACUUCGGGAAACCGGAGCUAAUACCGGAUAAUAUAUUGAACCGCAUGGUUCAAUAGUGAAAGACGGUUUUGCUGUCACUUAUAGAUGGAUCCGCGCCGCAUUAGCUAGUUGGUAAGGUAACGGCUUACCAAGGCAACGAUGCGUAGCCGACCUGAGAGGGUGAUCGGCCACACUGGAACUGAGACACGGUCCAGACUCCUACGGGAGGCAGCAGUAGGGAAUCUUCCGCAAGGGGCGAAAGCCUGACGGAGCAACGCCGCGUGAGUGAUGAAGGUCUUCGGAUCGUAAAACUAUGUUAUUAGGGAAGAACAAAUGUGUAAGUAACUAUGCACGUCUUGACGGUACCUAAUCAGAAAGCCACGGCUAACUACGU
Molecule: ribosomal RNA, 496 nt
Filed under: uncultured bacterium
Lineage: Bacteria
Description: partial 16S ribosomal RNA
Rfam family: Bacterial small subunit ribosomal RNA
Source: RNAcentral